Molecule: long non-coding RNA, 343 nt
Organism: Apodemus sylvaticus (European woodmouse)
Lineage: Eukaryota; Metazoa; Chordata; Mammalia; Rodentia; Muridae
Exons: 2
Source: RefSeq, a predicted model, not a curated record
AAAAAAGAAAAGAAAAAGAAAAAGAAAAGAAAGAAAGAAACUGAGGCCAGGGUUUCUAGACAGUGUUUUAGGGACCAGAAGCUAACUAAAAAAUCUUGGAUUCCUGAGUAUGGAGUUUCGAGACUUGGAACCCGAGGAGAUACCCAAGAAAAAGAGGUGUGAGCACGCCAGAAAUUCAGGUGGAAACGGUGACUUGAGGCUGGUGCAUUCCUGUUCAUGACAAAAACCACAAGCACAGACGCUGGUGCGGUCUACAUCUUUAGAACACAAACGUGCCUGCUCGGGGCUGGCACGUGACACAGAGUGGGGGCGAGUCUGGAAUAUGAAUAAAUAAGAGUCUCCA